This 107-nucleotide small nuclear RNA is filed under the name Octodon degus (degu). The record is from RNAcentral. Lineage: Eukaryota; Metazoa; Chordata; Mammalia; Rodentia; Octodontidae.
GUGCUCACUUCGGCAGCACAUAUACUAAAGUUGGAAUGAUACAGAGGAGAUUAGCAUGGACCCUGUGCAAGAAUGACACACAAAUUUGUGAAGCGUUCCAUAUUUUC